RNAcentral lists this ribosomal RNA (253 nucleotides) under uncultured bacterium. Its description in RNAcentral is "partial 16S ribosomal RNA". It matches the Rfam family "Bacterial small subunit ribosomal RNA", at positions 524 to 776 of the family's 1533-position model. The record is from RNAcentral.
UACGGGGGGGGCAAGCGUUGUUCGGAAUUACUGGGCGUAAAGCGUGCGCAGGCGGUUAUGUAAGACCGGUGUGAAAUCCCCGGGCUUAACCUGGGAACUGCAUUUGUGACUGCAUAGCUAGAGUACGGUAGAGGGGGAUGGAAUUCCGCGUGUAGCAGUGAAAUGCGUAGAUAUGCGGAGGAACACCGAUGGCGAAGGCAAUCCCCUGGACCUGUACUGACGCUCAUGCACGAAAGCGUGGGGAGCAAACAGG